Molecule: ribosomal RNA, 253 nt
Filed under: uncultured bacterium
Lineage: Bacteria
Description: partial 16S ribosomal RNA
Rfam family: Bacterial small subunit ribosomal RNA
Source: RNAcentral
UACAGAGGUCUCAAGCGUUGUUCGGAAUCACUGGGCGUAAAGGGUGCGUAGGUGGCGUGGAAAGUCAGAUGUGAAAGCCCGGGGCUCAACCCCGGAAUAGCCUUUGAGACUGCAUCGCUAGAAUUGUGGAGAGGUAAGUGGAAUUCCGAGUGUAGAGGUGAAAUUCGUAGAUAUUCGGAAGAACACCAGUGGCGAAGGCGACUUACUGGACACAUAUUGACGCUGAGGUGCGAAAGCGUGGGGAGCAAACAGG